This 4876-nucleotide unclassified non-coding RNA is filed under the name Haliotis rubra (blacklip abalone). RNAcentral describes it as "b(0,+)-type amino acid transporter 1-like, transcript variant X1". The record is from RNAcentral. Lineage: Eukaryota; Metazoa; Mollusca; Gastropoda; Lepetellida; Haliotidae.
AGAAAGGUAUGAUAAAUGAUAAGGGACAAUGAGAUAAACACCGAGCCUAUCUCUCACACGGCACAUCCAUUAACAUGACCAGCUCUGGGGCCACCGUGAAACGUCGGGUGUCAUGGCGAGAACCCAACCGCCUGACAGACGUGUGGGUGACACCGGAGUCUGGGGAUAAGGGAUGUAGUGGUGGCCUGGGAGAGAAGCACGUGGGUUUUACCGUCAAACCUAACCCCCCUGCUGACGGAGUGGGGAGCGACCUGAAAGAGAUCGGCCUCAUCUAUGGUGGAUCCCUUAUAGCACAGACCCUAAUAGGUCCUGGUAUAUUCACCUCCCCCAAGGGUGUGGUGGCGGGGUCGGGGUCAAUCGCCAUGUCUCUGGUCAUCUGGGCGGCCUGUGGCGUCUUCAGCACGAUGGCUGCUCUGUGUUUCACGGAACUUCGCGAGUCUGUCCGGAAAGAGGGUGUGGAGUAUGCCUACAUCUCGGAAGCGUUUGGGCCAGUCACAGCCUUCGUCUACUGUUGGAUGCGUAUCGCAGCUGCAGAACCAGUCGGAACGGCUGUUUUCUGUGCCGCCUUCGCCGACUACACUGCUGACGCUAUAUACGACGGUUGUGGCCCUCCUGAGACAAUCCGAAAAUGUUUGGCAAUUCUUGCACUUGUUUCCCUGGCCCUGCUGAACGGGUUCAGCAACAAGCUGGCAUCUCAGGUACAGGUUCUGGCGACCGUUGGGAAAGUGACGGCGUUGUCUGUAGUCAUCAUCUACGGCAUCAUCAGACUCUUCCAAGGUCAUUACACGAUCCUGCAGGAGGGUUUUGAGGGCACCACGGACAACCCGACAUCAAUAACCUUCGCCAUAUUCAAUGGUCUCUGGGCCUACGGUGGCUGGUCCAACGUAAACCACGUGACUAGAGGUGUGAAGAAACCCCCAAGAAAUUUACCACGACUUGUGAAAUGCGUCAUACCACUGGUAAUGGUAAUCUACAUGCUCGUGGUGACGUCAUACUUCACGGUAAUGACGAAACGCGAGAUGCUCGCUUCCGAGGCCAUAGGCGUGACAUGGGGUGAGAGGAUGCUGGGCAAGGCUUCUGCAGUUAUACCCCUGGGGGUUGGUCUGACGGCGCUGGGCAGUGCUAACGGGACAUUCCUAACAGCUGGGAGACUGUCAGGAGUCGCUCUAAAGGACGGCAACAUGCCGGAGUUCUCAUCGUGGGUGCAUGUGCGCAGCAAGACCAACAUAAUCACUCUCAUCAGCAGGGCGUUGAUCGCCAUCGUGAUGCUGCUGUUUGGUAGCCUGGACGUCCUGGUCCGGUUCUUCGUCUUCACGGUCUGGUUGUUCCACGGUCUGGCAAUCCUGGCUCUCCUGGUCCUCAGGGUAAAGAACAAAGAGAAAGCAAGACCGUAUAAGGUAAACAUCGCCAUCCCCAUCGUCGUUGUCGCCAUCAUUGCCUGUUUCUCCAUCGCACCCUUCCUGGAGGCACCCAAGACAGAGUUCAUUUUGUCUCUGGCUCUCGUUGUCUUCUCGCUGCUUCUCUACAUACCCAAGAAGUUCCUCAAAAUUAACGGUCAAUUCUCAGACAAGUUCCAGAUAUACCUUCAACUAUUCUUACGGAUCGCUCCUCGGCGAGCCUUGAAACGAAUGUCGAUAGCGCGACGGAAGUCAAUAGUGAGAAGAGCGUCUCUAGCCCUGGCUAGACGUCACUCUAUGCUGAGGAUGGAAGAGGAUUCGAUGCUCCGGAGGAGGACUAGUCUGAGCGUCAGGCGUUCCUCUGCGCCUACCAUCACCAAACCAGCAGGGAUCAUCCGUCGGAGCCACACCUUCAGUGAAGCCCAGAGACCUCUCAGUAUGAUCACGGAAACAUCACCACGGGAGACCACGCCCCCAGACUCGGGUCUCAGCUCCGACCAGGAGACCGUGGAAGACAAGUUCAACUUCCAGGUAGAUGUAGAACCGCAGAACGACGUCACAGAAGGCUCCGUAGGCAGUGGCAGCAUCGCAUCAAGUGACGUGGAAUACGUUGAUCCUUUCGCAGAUCUGGACCCAGUUGUGCUCAACGAGCUGUUUUCUCUGCGAUCUCGCUCCAGCGCAAGCAGUGACAGCUCCUCUUCACUGGACAUGAACGAGACAGCGUCCAUGACAGACGACGACCUCGACGGCUCCGACUCCACCACCAGCACAGAUGACAACUUAGAUUCAGAACUGGACGCGGAGUUGUUUGCUGAGUUGGACUCUUAUCUUGUUUAUGAUGAUGCGUUAUCUGAUGAUGUUCCUUACAUGCAGGUUACCAAGUUGUGAUACCACGUCUAGUAUUGCGUGGAAAAUCAAAACGGUUUGAGUCAGUGGGGUAGUUCGGCUUUUGCAGGUCAGGUCAGAAGAUGGUCAAGGGGGUAUAAAAUCACAUCCAUAAGUACUGCAUUUCAAAUGUAAGAAGAAUUCUACCUGCCAGCGAAUGUAGUGAAAAGGGAUAAUUGAGAUCAAUUCAGUCCCAGAAACACUAAAUACCGAGUCAUUACAUUGGUACCACUCCAAUAAAUCCUCUCAACGUUAUGUUUCACUCUAAGUGAUUUCGUUUCAAGAAGUACAACCUGAUAUUACUUAUUCAUUCGGGCAAAAUGAAUUUGGACAAUAUCAAAAUCAUUGCUGAAUCUCAACGAAGUAGCAAGAAUACAAAAUUUGUAUUACAACUUCUCUAUAUUUCACAGACGAAGACAAAUUUGCCAAGAGGAAAAAUCAAAACGUUUUGUAGGUGAAAUUCAUAUUCAGCUUCUCGUCAUUUGGUCAGUCAUUGCAGCCAAUAGCAAUUUCCAUUGUUAAGAAACUUACAUACUGUUUCAUUCAACAUCAUAGGUUGUAGUUUAGUAGUAUAUGUUGCAUAUAGAUGUUUAAAGCUUGUUUCUUUGUAACCCGUAUCGUAUAGCUUGUGUUUUUUCUCCUUCUGAUGAACCUUAUAGGCUGAAAGGACAGCUAUAUAGUAACACAGCUAACAUUGACGUAACCAGCUGUACAUCGUCCAUGUAGCCUAGGUAACAUAUACAUUGUUGGUACCAGUCGUAUAUUGUCCAUAAACAUUGGUAACAUAGCUUCGUUGUUGUUACCUGUUGAAUAUUGUCCACAUAACCUUGGUAACAUAGCUUACGUUAUUGUUACCAGUUGUAAACUGUCCGCAUAGAAUAGGUAGCAUGGCUUACAUUCUGCAUGGGCGUGCGGCCAAUAUGUUGUAAAUUGCUCUAAUUAAGGAACACAGGUGGCAGCGUGCGGCCAAGUAAAUAAAUUAUGUACCCACAUCGCAUAAAUUACAACGAAAUCAUGUUUUUUUAAGUACGGCUUGCUAACCACAUUUAUUUACAUAGAUAGCACAAUUAAUAUCAAUGUCUUGUUUCCGCUUACAAGAUGUUACGUAUAUAGCAUCAGUAACAUCGUGUUGUCUUGCUGCAUACACGGCACUGGAUUUGUUUCUUGCCACAACAUCGUCGUCAGCCUAAAUGUACGGCCAGGUGACAAGACGUAUAUUGCCUAUAUAGCAUGUAUGUAGCUUACCAUUAACACUCCACCACCCCACUCCCCUGCAUAUUCUAUGUACGGCCAGGUGACAAGACGUAUAUUGCCUAUAUAACAUGUAUGUAGCUUACCAUUAACACCCCCUACAUAUUCUAUGUACGGCCAGGUGACCAGAUGAUAUGGAUUUGUAUAUUCAGAGAGCAGCUCAUGACGUGUAUAUAUGUUGACACCUGGAAAACACUCACGAAUGUUGUUGAUUGUGUUGUUAUGUUGUUUCUGUUGAGUAUUAGCCAAAAAUGGCAUUCAAGACUUUGCUAAACCAUGAACCCACUGAGAUACUGCUGAUUGCUUUGUCUGCAGAAAACACUUCCGCUUAAUGGUCUUGACGUAUGUCCAGACUUUACCCUCGUUGGUACUGCAAUUCAUUAAGCUACGAUAAACAUGUACCCUGGAUCACGGGGCUCGAUGGCACUGAAUUCAAUCUGAGAAAACCAAAACCAAAAACCAAAACAACGUUAUGCAGUAUUUUUGUUCAUAACAUUUUUAUGAGGGGUUCUGGUAUUUCUAGUAGAGACAAAACAAAAUUGUCUCCACAAUCAAAUCUUUUUUUCUAUUUAUGAAUUGGGACCCACAUAUUUUCGGGAUAUCCGGUGAAGGCAGGGUUAAAACCUGGGCAAAAUAAUUUUUGUUGGGAUAAUUUCUUGAAUAAUGUAAUUUGAUCCCAUAAUUACGCUACUAUAUAUAUUUGAAUAAUGGAGAGUUUAACCGUUUCCUUAAUAUCGCGUAAUAUGAAUUGUCGACGUCUUUAUUAAUGAGAUGUCAUAAUAUCAUUAAGGAUAGUUUUACUAGUCUUUCAUUAUGUUGGAUAUUUUCCUUGAACAUCUAGCCAUGCGGUUGACGUUAACGUUAUAUUGUUGUUUAAAUUGUUAUUUCUGACAUGCAUUAUGAUUUAUGAAACUGUGAUAGAAACCAUUGCUUAAUGUCAUCUGGUUCGGGAAAUACGGAUCAGUUAUGCCGGAAACCGAAGUUAUUCUAAUGUUGCUGUCAAUAGUUUAUCAUAUCCUAUGGUAAAUUACACUAGUUUUCACAAUCUAAAGCAAUAUAUUCUGUUGUCGACACUGGUCUCGAUGAUAGUACUGAAUUUCCGUUUAGUUUCAUGCCCCGUCGUGGGAGAAUUAAGCGAAUUUAUUGACACAAAUGUUUCAAUUUUUGUUUCGAUAACACUGAAAGUAUCAAAGAACAUAUUAAAUAAGUUAAUUUUUAUAGACAAUAUAACGUAUGUAUUGUACUUUUGUAAUCGAUGAAAAUAAAAUGUUCUCAAUUAAUGAGGUCUUUAUAUUUUGAGGAAAACCAAAUGAGAUACGACCUUUAAUAAACUGGUGAUGUUA